This is a long non-coding RNA of Bradysia coprophila, 138 nucleotides long. NCBI's taxonomy places the organism in Eukaryota, Metazoa, Arthropoda, Insecta, Diptera, Sciaridae. The record is from RefSeq and is a predicted model, not a curated record.
AAACAAGCUCGAGCCGAUAUUAUUGAGUUAUAGCUCAUUCGAUUCGUCGUUCAAUUCUAGCGAGGGGGUGUCUGCCAUUUUUUCUCAAAAAAAUCCAGUUUGGGUGUAAUGUGUCUACAUCAAACUUUAAAAUUUUGA